ACGAACGCUGGCGGCGUGCUUAACACAUGCAAGUCGAACGGAAAGGCCCUGCUUUUGUGGGGGUGCUCGAGUGGCGAACGGGUGAGUAACACGUGAGUAACCUGCCCUUGACUUUGGGAUAACUUCAGGAAACUGGGGCUAAUACCGGAUAGGAGCUCCUGCUGCAUGGUGGGGGUUGGAAAGUUUCGGCGGUUGGGGAUGGACUCGCGGCUUAUCAGCUUGUUGGUGGGGUAGUGGCUUACCAAGGCUUUGACGGGUAGCCGGCCUGAGAGGGUGACCGGCCACAUUGGGACUGAGAUACGGCCCAGACUCCUACGGGAGGCAGCAGUGGGGAAUAUUGCACAAUGGGCGGAAGCCUGAUGCAGCAACGCCGCGUGCGGGAUGACGGCCUUCGGGUUGUAAACCGCUUUCGCCUGUGACGAAGCGUGAGUGACGGUAAUGGGUAAAGAAGCACCGGCUAACUACGUG
This 468-nucleotide ribosomal RNA is filed under the name uncultured bacterium. RNAcentral's name for it is "partial 16S ribosomal RNA". It matches the Rfam family "Bacterial small subunit ribosomal RNA", at positions 29 to 507 of the family's 1533-position model. The record is from RNAcentral.